GAUGAACGCUAGCGGCAGGCCUAACACAUGCAAGUCGAGGGGCAGCACAGAAACAGCAAUGUUUUGGUGGCGACCGGCGGACGGGUGCGUAACGCGUAUGCAACCUACCUUUAACAGGGGGAUAACGGAGAGAAAUUUCCACUAAUACCCCAUAACAUCGAUCAAGGCAUCUUGAUUGGUUGAAAACUCCGGUGGUUAAAGAUGGGCAUGCGUUGUAUUAGGUAGUUGGUGAGGUAAUGGCUCACCAAGCCUACGAUACACAGGGGGACUGGGAGGUUAGCCCCCCACACUGGUACUGAGACACGGACCAGACUCCUACGGGAGGCAGCAGUGAGGAAUAUUGGUCAAUGGGGGCAACCCUGAACCAGCCAUGUCGCGUGCAGGAAGACGGCUCUAUGAGUUGUAAACUGCUUUUAAACAGGGAUAAAGCACAGUAUGUAUACUGUGUUGAAGGUACUGUAAGAAUAAGGAUCGGCUAACUCCGUGCCAGCAGCCGCAGUAA
Molecule: ribosomal RNA, 502 nt
Filed under: uncultured bacterium
Lineage: Bacteria
Description: partial 16S ribosomal RNA
Rfam family: Bacterial small subunit ribosomal RNA
Source: RNAcentral